AUGAACGCUGGCGGCGUGCCUAAUACAUGCAAGUCGAGCGAACGGACGAGAAGCUUGCUUCUCUGAUGUUAGCGGCGGACGGGUGAGUAACACGUGGAUAACCUACCUAUAAGACUGGGAUAACUUCGGGAAACCGGAGCUAAUACCGGAUAAUAUUUUGAACCGCAUGGUUCAAAAGUGAAAGACGGUCUUGCUGUCACUUAUAGAUGGAUCCGCGCUGCAUUAGCUAGUUGGUAAGGUAACGGCUUACCAAGGAACGAUGCAUAGCCGACCUGAGAGGGUGAUCGGCCACACUGGAACUGAGACACGGUCCAGACUCCUACGGGAGGCAGCAGUAGGGAAUCUUCCGCAAUGGGCGAAAGCCUGACGGAGCAACGCCGCGUGAGUGAUGAAGGUCUUCGGAUCGUAAAACUCUGUUAUUAGGGAAGAACAUAUGUGUAAGUAACUGUGCACAUCUUGACGGUACCUAAUCAGAAAGCCACGGCUAACUACGUG
This 495-nucleotide ribosomal RNA is filed under the name uncultured bacterium. RNAcentral describes it as "partial 16S ribosomal RNA". It matches the Rfam family "Bacterial small subunit ribosomal RNA", at positions 29 to 507 of the family's 1533-position model. The record is from RNAcentral.